This 301-nucleotide ribosomal RNA is filed under the name uncultured bacterium. RNAcentral's name for it is "partial 16S ribosomal RNA". It matches the Rfam family "Bacterial small subunit ribosomal RNA", at positions 509 to 807 of the family's 1533-position model. The record is from RNAcentral.
CAGUCGCCGCGGUAACACGUAGGGUGCAAGCGUUAAUCGGAAUUACUGGGCGUAAACCGUGCGCAGGCGGUUAUAUAAGACAGAUGUGAAAUCCCCGGGCUCAACCUGGGAACUGCAUUUGUGACUGUAUAGCUAGAGUACGGCAGAGGGGGAUGGAAUUCCGCGUGUAGCAGUGAAAUGCGUAGAUAUGCGGAGGAACACCGAUGGCGAAGGCAAUCCCCUGGGCCUGUACUGACGCUCAUGCACGAAAGCGUGGGGAGCAAACAGGAUUAGAUACCCCUGUAGUCCCUGUCUCUUAUAC